RNA transcript from Mandrillus leucophaeus (drill), 1618 nucleotides. It is a transcript of the gene named E3 ubiquitin-protein ligase ARIH2 pseudogene, with no coding region annotated. NCBI's taxonomy places the organism in Eukaryota, Metazoa, Chordata, Mammalia, Primates, Cercopithecidae. The record is from RefSeq and is a predicted model, not a curated record. The transcript has a single exon.
ACUUGGGUGACAUCUGCCUGAGAGAUCUCCAAGAAUUACAGAAGACAAAAAUACUAAUGCAUUUGAAAAAGCGGUAGUUUUGUGGGGAGGGGGAAAAAGCAACUGCUUUCCUGAUCUGUAACUUGGCUGGAUGCUAAGAUGUCGGUGGACAUGAAUAGCCAAGGGUCUGACAGCAAUGAAGAGGACUGUGACCCAAAUUGUUAGGAAGAGGAAGAAGAAGAGGAUGAAGACCCUGGGGACAUAGAGGACUAUUACGUGGGAGUAGCCAGUGAUGUGGAGCAGCAGGGGGCUGAUGCCUUUGAUCCCAAGGAGUACCAGUUCACCUGCUUGACCUACAAGGAAUCUGAGAGUGCCCUCAAUGAGCACAUGACCAUCUUAGCUUCUGUCCUAAAGGUAUCUCAUUCAGUUGCUAAACUUAUAUUAGUUAAUUUCUACUGGCAAGUUUCAGAGAUAUUGGACAGAUUCAAGUCCAAUUCUGCUCAACUGCUUGUUGAGGCUCGAGUUCAGUCUAAUCCAUCAAAACAUGUUUCCACAUCCCAUCCCCCUCACCACUGUGCAGUGUGUAUGCAGUUUGUGCGAAAGGAAAACCUACUCUCUCUGGCCUGUCAGCACCAGUUUUGCUGCAGCUGCUGGGAGCAGCACUGCUCAGUUCUCAUCAAGGACAGCGUGGGCGUGGGAGUCUCUCAUAUGGCUUAGGACUGUCCACUCCAUACACCAGCGGACUUUGUUUCCAUUGCUUCCCAACGAAGAAUUGAGAAAGAAAUACAGGCGCUACCUCUUCAGGGACUAUGUGGAGAGUCAUUACCAGCUCCAGCUGUGCCCUGGUGCAGACUGCCCCAUGGUUAUUUGGGUACAGGAGCCUAGAGCUUGCCGAGUACAGUGCAAUCGGUGCAACGAGGUCUUCUGUUUCAAGUGUCAUCAGAUGUAUCAUGCACCCACAGACACGCCACAAUCCGGAAAUGGCUCACAAAGUGUGCAGACAACUCUGAAACAGCCAACUACAUUAGUGCCCACACUAAAGACUGUCCCAAGUGCAACAUCUGCAUUGAGAAGAAUGGAGGCUGCAAUCACAUGCACUGCUCCAAAUGUAAACAUGACUUCUGCUGGAUGUGUCUAGGAGAUUGGAAGACUCAUGGCAGUGAAUACUAUGAGUGCAGUCGUUACAAGGAGAAUUCUGACAUUGUGAACCAGAGCCAACGAGCCUAGGCGAGGGAAGCCCUCAAGAAGUACUUAUUCUACUUGGAGAGGUGGGAAAAACCACAACAAAAGCUUGCAGCUUGAGGCACAGACAUACCAGUGGAUUCACGAGAAGAUUCAGGAGAGGGUCAUGAACAAUCUGGGGACAUGGAUCGACUGGCAGUACCUACAGAAUGCUGCCAAGCUCUUGGCCAAGUGUCGAUACACCGUGCAAUACACCUACCCAUAUGAAUAUUACAUGGAGUCCGGACCCAGGAAGAAGCUGUUUGAAUACCAGCAGGCUCAGCUGGAGGCUGAGAUCGGAAACCUCUCACGGAAACUGGAGCGUGCAGACAGCUAUGACAGAGGGGACUUGGAGAACCAGAUGCAUAUAGCAGAGCAGCGGAGGAGAACCCUGCUGAAAGAUUUCCAUGACACCUAA